AGAGAAUAAUGAAAUGCAUCAUCU
RNAcentral lists this non-coding RNA (24 nucleotides) under Arabidopsis thaliana (thale cress). The record is from RNAcentral. Lineage: Eukaryota; Viridiplantae; Streptophyta; Magnoliopsida; Brassicales; Brassicaceae.